AUGCUUUGGCAGCAUAUAUACUAAAAUUAGCAUGGCCCCUGCCCAAAGAUAAAACACAAAUUUAUGAAGCAUUCCACAUUUUU
This 83-nucleotide small nuclear RNA is filed under the name Notamacropus eugenii (tammar wallaby). The record is from RNAcentral. Lineage: Eukaryota; Metazoa; Chordata; Mammalia; Diprotodontia; Macropodidae.